Molecule: long non-coding RNA, 352 nt
Filed under: Capra hircus (goat)
Lineage: Eukaryota; Metazoa; Chordata; Mammalia; Artiodactyla; Bovidae
Description: lncRNA (ENSCHIG00000007152.1)
Source: RNAcentral
ACUAAAGCCAGUAUUUAUGCAGGGUCGAGAACAAAGCAAACAUGCUUCAUCUCAAUAUAUUUAUUCCCUGUGAAAUUUCUCCUAGAAUUAUGUAGGAUGAGACAAAGCUAGAGAAACUGUACUCUUCAAGAGGAAAAGAGAUGGCCCUGCCAGACAGAACCAAGUGAAAUCAACUCUCACCUCAAAUAUUGGUCCAACUCCAACAAACUUGUCUUGGAUCAGAGCCACUGCUGAGGGGAACCACAAUGACUUACUCAAGAUCAAUGGAAAAGCUUCGUCAACAGCACCUAAGAUGCUCAUAGUCACAGGCUUGAGAUAACCCUUGGUUAUGUCGCUUAGAUUCCUUCUGUCA